UGGCUCAGAGGUUAAAGCUUCUGCCUGCAAGGCAGGAGACCGGGGUUCAAUCCCUG
Non-coding RNA from Bos taurus (domestic cattle), 56 nucleotides. Lineage: Eukaryota; Metazoa; Chordata; Mammalia; Artiodactyla; Bovidae. The record is from Rfam.